GAUGAACGCUAGCGACAGGCUUAACACAUGCAAGUCGAGGGGCAGCACAGGUAGCAAUACCGGGUGGCGACCGGCGCACGGGUGAGUAACGCGUAUGCAACUUACCUAUCAGAGGGGGAUAACCCGGCGAAAGUCGGACUAAUACCGCAUGAAGCAGGGGUCCCGCAUGGGGAUAUUUGCUAAAGAUUCAUCGCUGAUAGAUAGGCAUGCGUUCCAUUAGGCAGUUGGCGGGGUAACGGCCCACCAAACCGACGAUGGAUAGGGGUUCUGAGAGGAAGGUCCCCCACAUUGGUACUGAGACACGGACCAAACUCAUACGGGAGGCAGCAGUGAGGAAUAUUGGUCAAUGGCCGAGAGGCUGAACCAGCCAAGUCGCGUGAGGGAUGAAGGUUCUAUGGAUCGUAAACCUCUUUUAUAAGGGAAUAAAGUGCGGGACGUGUCCCGUUUUGUAUGUACCUUAUGAAUAAGGAUCGGCUAACUCCGUG
This 485-nucleotide ribosomal RNA is filed under the name uncultured bacterium. Its description in RNAcentral is "partial 16S ribosomal RNA". It matches the Rfam family "Bacterial small subunit ribosomal RNA", at positions 28 to 507 of the family's 1533-position model. The record is from RNAcentral.